This 75-nucleotide transfer RNA is filed under the name Gammaproteobacteria bacterium. RNAcentral's name for it is "tRNA-Tyr". It matches the Rfam family "tRNA", at positions 10 to 71 of the family's 71-position model. Rfam says of the family: Transfer RNA (tRNA) molecules are approximately 80 nucleotides in length. Their secondary structure includes four short double-helical elements and three loops (D, anti-codon, and T loops). Further hydrogen bonds mediate the characteristic L-shaped molecular structure. tRNAs have two regions of fundamental functional importance: the anti-codon, which is responsible for specific mRNA codon recognition, and the 3' end, to which the tRNAs corresponding amino acid is attached (by aminoacyl-tRNA synthetases). tRNAs cope with the degeneracy of the genetic code in two manners: having more than one tRNA (with a specific anti-codon) for a particular amino acid; and 'wobble' base-pairing, i.e. permitting non-standard base-pairing at the 3rd anti-codon position. The record is from RNAcentral. Lineage: Bacteria; Pseudomonadati; Pseudomonadota; Gammaproteobacteria.
GGGGAGCGGUCAAACCCAGCUGACUGUAAAUCAGCCGCUUCGGCUUCGCAGGUUCGAAUCCUGCCCCCUCCACCA